AAAGGAAUAGACGGGGACCCGCACAAGCGGUGGAGCAUGUGGAUUAAUUCGAAGCAACGCGAAGAACCUUACCAAGGCUUGACAUGGGGCCGAAAGGCAUGGAGACAUGCCCCCCCUCCGGGGCGGCCCACACAGGUGGUGCAUGGUUGUCGUCAGCUCGUGUCGUGAGAUGUUGGGUUAAGUCCCGCAACGAGCGCAACCCUUAUGUUUAGUAGCCAGCGGGCAAGGCCGGGCACACUAGAGAUACUGCCGUGGAUAACACGGAGGAAGGCGGGGAUGAGGUCAAAUCAUCAUGCCCCUUAUGUCUUGGGCGUCACACGUGCUACAAUGGCCCGAACAGAGUGAAGCGAGGCAGCGAUGCGGAGCGAAACACGAAAACGGGCCUCAGUUCGGAUUGCAGGCUGCAACCCGCCUGCAUGAAGCUGGAAUCGCUAGUAAUCGCGAAUCAGCAUGUCGCGGUGAAUACGUUCCCGGGUCUUGUACACACCGCCCGU
RNAcentral lists this ribosomal RNA (494 nucleotides) under uncultured bacterium. Its description in RNAcentral is "bacterial SSU rRNA". It matches the Rfam family "Bacterial small subunit ribosomal RNA", at positions 903 to 1397 of the family's 1533-position model. The record is from RNAcentral.